UUUCACUUUUCACUUCACUGAAUUGUUUAAUAGCGUGCUUGUAAUAAUAAAGAAUGUGACACUGUGGAUUCUUAGCUCCUCCCAGUGAGUAUGAAGCAGCCAAUUCAUGGAACCCAAGUGAUCAAACACAGACAAUGGAAAUUGAAAAUCCUGAGAAUCAGCCUGUUAGGAAACUUGCAGGGUUCAAAGGACCAGAUUUCCUCUCACUCGAUCUCAAAUCACUAGUCCUUCAAGUGUGGCAAGUUUUGUGGAGGCAACACUUGUGUAGUAUUUAGAUCUAAGGUUAGAACUAACCAGUGGUCUAAUACAAAGAUCUAAAGCUGAUGUG
RNAcentral lists this long non-coding RNA (328 nucleotides) under Bos taurus (domestic cattle). RNAcentral's name for it is "long non-coding RNA NONBTAT009430". Lineage: Eukaryota; Metazoa; Chordata; Mammalia; Artiodactyla; Bovidae. The record is from RNAcentral.